Long non-coding RNA from Syngnathus typhle (broad-nosed pipefish), 2896 nucleotides. RefSeq lists it as uncharacterized. NCBI's taxonomy places the organism in Eukaryota, Metazoa, Chordata, Actinopteri, Syngnathiformes, Syngnathidae. The record is from RefSeq and is a predicted model, not a curated record. The transcript has 5 exons.
CACAACCAGAGGCGGGAUCCGUGGCACGCCACCCUCCAAUGGGAGGCGAACCCUCACUUGAAAUAAAGGGAAAGAGGAGGCGGAGGUGCGCAAGAAACAGUGAGCUGACGGAGAAGCCACAAGGGCGAGUCCAGUCGGUGAAGGAAGACAACUCAAGCCGCAUCAGACCCAUUUGACACACAUCAACCACUCUUACAGAAACAAGAGUUGAUGCCACCAACUCAGCGAUUGUCCGUCAGUAUUCGCAGGGUGUCACGGCACCGAGUGACGCACUCUCAGGCGGAGGGUAACAUCAAAUUAAGUAUAAAACAAAUAUAAGUAAUCCCUGUGUGCUUAAAGUAUCCACAGAGCCUCCACUAAUGGGGAAAAGGCACAAUUGGCAGUCUGUCCAGCCUGCCCGAACGCUUCGUGGGUCACCUCCUCACCUCAACGUUCUCUCACCCCUCUCCUCCGGCCCUGGCCCUGCCCACCCCAGGUCAUUUAUCAUGGAGCAGGAGGGGAGCCUCCAGGCCUGCAGGCCCCUGUCAGCCACUGCAAUCGCCUCUUUGUGGCUCCCAGCAAACAAGUGUCGGAUCAGCAAAAGUCUAUUAAAGCCUGGUGGGCCUUUCUCAGCCAAUUGGGUCUGGGUCAGUGAGCCGCUCUCCUCGCUGCUCCGAGAGCUCUUUGUGUCGCCGCCGUUCGCUGACACAGAUCCCCACAAGAUUAAUGAUUUUUAGCAGCCACUUGGUUCUUACUCGCAAGAGUUGGAGCCCGUUUCUCUCAUUUUGCCCUCUCUUUUGGCCACUUGUAAUGCUUCCCUUUUCUCCCUUCAGCCCAUCUCUCAUACUCCAUCUCCUUAUUUUUUCCAUUCAACCCAGCCUGCUAACCCAAUCAAUGCUAAUUGCAUUAGCAUAAACCUUACAAACCCACAAUACAUACACCAAAAGACAUUGUGUCUUAAUGGGCAUAUACCGCGAAGGAUACAACUCCAAUAUCUAAAUGUUCUAUCAGUAUUCAUAAGUACCGGAUGCAUUGAAAUAAUGUUGGUAUCGACCCAAUAUCUACUCGCCCAUCCCUCGUCAUUAUCUUCCGAUUGCUAUUAAUGCCUAAUGAAUCCAAAGCAUGUUGAUAACCAACUUUCAAAUCCGCUUUACAAUCCAGGCAGUCGUCCUUGCGGCAAGUCUCAAGGGGCUCGGAGUAAUUUGAAAUCUUUCAGCCGCCUCUCACCAGUUCCAUGUUGGUCAUGUUCUCAGUGUUGUUUCCAGUAAUUACUGCAGGUUAAGUGCACGUCCCGGAGCCCAGCGGAGGCAGCUCUAUCCCUCACCUGGGACAUGACUCAGCAAGGCUCGGGUCAUCCGGCCAUUUCCCUGACCACUGGACCACACCCAGCCUACUCUAAAGCCGCAGGAGCAGCUCUCAUGUUCACUUACAUCAUGUAAUGCAAAGGUAGUUUUAUUUGCCGCCUGAUUGUUUCCUGAAACUCAGCCUCAGACCGGCGUCUGAAUUUUUUUUAACAACGACUGAUACGCAUGUUGUUUUUAACCCAGCCAACUAUUGAUUUCUAUAUACGUACUGGCCAACCUAUUCUUUAUUGUAAAAUUAAGUACUGGGAAGAGGUCGAUUAUAGUUUCACGUUUUGAAUGUUUUGCUUUGACGUAAAAAAAAAUCUCUCUUUCUCUCUCUCUCUCUCUCUCUCUCUCUCUCUCUCUCUCUGUCUGUCUCUCUCUCUCUCUGUCUGUCUGUCUGUCUGUCUGUCUGUCUGUCUCUCUCUCUCUCUCUCUCUCUCUCUCUCUCUCUCUCUCUCUCUCUCUCUCUCAUAUAAAAUCAUGAUCCUGUCGUUAUGUUUAUUUGAAGUUGAAUGGAUGGACUCAGCCCGCCUUUUCUUGCAAAAGAAUCUUCUCACCCGUGUUUUUUUUUUUUUGGUACCUGAGCGUUCAUGUAAACGGUUAUAGAUUGGAAGAUGCCGGCAUACUGGCAUUCCACAUCAUUACUCACACAGACCAGGAGAGACCAUAGGCUGAGCUAUUCAGAGUACCCUCCACCUCACUCAUGCUCUCUCAUACAUACUGAAAGUGUAUACAUACACACACACUCACACGCACGCAGACGUGAUUCAAACACAGGGUUCCUCCAUGGCGAGGCCUUUUUGUUUGCGCCCUUGCUCUUGACCUAUUCUCUUUUGACUUGCCCUAGUAUUUCAUUUCUACUUAUCCUCUCGCCUCUCUUUUCCUUGCUCUGGCUUGCUCUCAUCUCCAGGUUGGAGACAUUGCAACUCAAACUAUGUGUGUGUCUACUGUAUUCAGAAUCAGGGUAAAUAGAAAUGUACACCAAAAUUAUUCAUAUUAUUAAGUAGUUGCCUGACAUUUGUAAAUUAUUCAUACUCUCAAGAAAGAAAAGUAGUCUGUCAUUUGUAAAUUUAACUUGUGUAACAAUAAAACACAAGUAUUGACAUAAAGGGUGAAAAAGGAAAGUUAGAGUGGAGAUAAAAAGUCUACACACCCCAGUUCAAAUGGCAAGUUUUUGUGUCCAAGCUAAAGGUUUCCCACUAUUACUUAACGUAUAUCCUUUAGAACUCAAUUGAGAAAAUCAGAGGGAAAUCCCAUAGAAACAAAGUAAGUGCACACACUCGCUUAUAAAUGGAGAGUGUCUGUUCAGAAUUAAGCAAUCACAUUCACACUCAUUUUAAAUUAGUGUCAGCACACACUUGCCACUAUGUAAAGGUGGCAGUGUACGUAUGUAAAAUUCUCUUUUGGGUGCAAUUGUUAACAGAAAGGGUCAUUUUAAUCAGCUAGGUCCUCGUGACCUUUUUAUUAAUUGUGCUACGAAACAUAAACAAGAGCUUUUGUGUCCGUCAGAUGAGCUACCGCCUCAUAGUAAAAAGGCGAUACUGUUACAUAUCAUCACACAACUUUGCAGA